GACGAACGCUGGCGGCGUGCUUAACACAUGCAAGUCGAACGGAGCGAAUGAAAGCUUGCUUUUAUGAGCUUAGUGGCAAACGGGUGAGUAACACGUAGACAACCUGCCGAUCAGAUGGGGACAACAUUCCGAAAGGAAUGCUAAUACCGAAUGGCGUGUAGGGGAGGCAUCUUCCCUACAUGAAAGAUGGCCUCUAUAUAUAAGCUAUUACUGAUCGAUGGGUCUGCGUCUGAUUAGCUAGUAGGUAAGGUAACGGCUUACCUAGGCGACGAUCAGUAGCCGGUCUGAGAGGAUGAACGGCCACAUUGGGACUGAGACACGGCCCAGACUCCUACGGGAGGCAGCAGUGGGGAAUCUUCCGCAAUGGGCGCAAGCCUGACGGAGCAACGCCGCGUGAGUGAAGAAGGUCUUCGGAUCGUAAAGCUCUGUUGAAGGGGACGAACGAUCGAGGGGCGAACAGGCUCUCGGUAUGA
This 473-nucleotide ribosomal RNA is filed under the name Centipeda artemidis. Its description in RNAcentral is "bacterial SSU rRNA". It matches the Rfam family "Bacterial small subunit ribosomal RNA", at positions 28 to 472 of the family's 1533-position model. The record is from RNAcentral. Lineage: Bacteria; Bacillati; Bacillota; Negativicutes; Selenomonadales; Selenomonadaceae.